UUUAACGAUUUAUAUCUAUACUCAGACGGCACAGUUAUCAGAAUUUAAGACGGCUACCGGCGGGCACGGGCCAGGGGCGGUAAAGCGCCCGGCGGCCCCAAAGGGCGGGCCCGCCAAAGCAACGUGGUUGGUUACACAAAGGGUUGGAGAUCGGGCCUGGAAGACCCUUACUCGGUAAUGAUCCUUCCGCAGGUUCACCUACGGAAA
RNAcentral lists this unclassified non-coding RNA (207 nucleotides) under uncultured fungus. Its description in RNAcentral is "sequence contains ITS1". Lineage: Eukaryota; Fungi. The record is from RNAcentral.